RNAcentral lists this ribosomal RNA (280 nucleotides) under uncultured bacterium. RNAcentral describes it as "partial 16S ribosomal RNA". It matches the Rfam family "Bacterial small subunit ribosomal RNA", at positions 333 to 610 of the family's 1533-position model. The record is from RNAcentral.
AAUCUCCUACGGGGCGCAGCAGUGAGGAAUAUUGGUCAAUGGGCGGGAGCCUGAACCAGCCAAGCCGCGUGAGGGAAGAAGGUACAGCGUAUCGUAAACCUCUUUUGUCAGGGCACAACGGCGGGGACUAGUCCCCGGAUGAGGGUACCUGAAGAAAAAGCAUCGGCUAACUCCGUGCCAGCAGCCGCGGUAAUACUGAGGAUGCGAGCGUUAUCCGGAUUUAUUGGGUUUAAAGGGUGCGCAGGCGGCCUGUUAAGUCAGCGGUACAAGCCCGGGGCUC